RNAcentral lists this unclassified non-coding RNA (613 nucleotides) under Hevea brasiliensis (rubber tree). The record is from RNAcentral. Lineage: Eukaryota; Viridiplantae; Streptophyta; Magnoliopsida; Malpighiales; Euphorbiaceae.
GAUACAAUGCCGUUCAUAUUUGAUUCGGUUUGGGACUUGAUAAAACUGGUAGAUUAUCUUACUGAGAGGGAAGAUGUUGACCCGUCAAAGAUAGGAAUCACUGGCGAGUCUCUUGGAGGUAUGCAUGCUUGGUUUGCCGCAUUUGUUGACACUCGCUAUUCUGUGGUUGUCCCCAUAAUUGGUGUUCAGGGUUUUGGAUGGGCAAUUGAGCAUGAUAAGUGGCAAGCAAGAGUGAACAGUAUCAAGGCUAUCUUUGAAGAAGCAAGUGCUGAUUUAGACAAGAGUGCUAUUGAUAAAGAAGUAGUUCAGAAGGUCUGGGAUAGGAUUGCCCCGGGUUUGGCAUCUCAAUUUGAUGCACCAUACACAGUACCAACUAUUGCACCACGGCCAUUACUGAUUUUAAAUGGGGCAGAUGAUCCUCGUUGCCCACUAGGUGGCCUUGAAAUUCCAGAAUCAAGAACUCUCGAAGCUUAUGAAAAGGCUAACUGUACUCAGAAUUUCAAGCUGAUAGCGCAACCUGGAAUUGGUCAUCAAAUGACACCAUUGAUGGUAAAAGAAGCAAGUGACUGGUUUGACAGAUUUCUUAAAGUAUAAUCACCAGUGUAUUACAAAA